GAUUUCACUAAGAGUGACUUUUACACCUGUGAAUGUGAUGGUGUAGACAUCUGUGAUGUGCAACUACAGGUUGAGGGAACCAACACAAACACCACAACAACGUUGCCUCCAGUAAACGGAACACACCUUUCAGUGUGCAGCUGCAGACUCUGAAGACGCCGCCUUGACGACAGCGCUUUAAGGUUUUAUACCAUUUGAAGGACGUGAACACAUGGUUCAUUCCUCACUUAGUGACACGUAAUGAUCUGUUGUUUCUUGGACCAUCGUGGAGCCUCGCCACAA
Electrophorus electricus (electric eel) is the source of this 282-nucleotide non-coding RNA. NCBI's taxonomy places the organism in Eukaryota, Metazoa, Chordata, Actinopteri, Gymnotiformes, Gymnotidae. The record is from RefSeq and is a predicted model, not a curated record.